GUGGGGAAUAUUGGACAAUGGGCGAAAGCCUGAUCCAGCCAUGCCGCGUGUGUGAAGAAGGUCUUCGGAUUGUAAAGCACUUUAAGUUGGGAGGAAGGGCAGUAAGUUAAUACCUUGCUGUUUUGACGUUACCGACAGAAUAAGCACCGGCUAACUUCGUGCCAGCAGCCGCGGUAAUACGAAGGGUGCAAGCGUUAAUCGGAAUUAAUGGGCGUAAAGCGCGCGUAGGUGGUUUUGUAAGUUGGAGGUGAAAUCCCCGGGCUCAACCUGGGAACUGCCUCCAAAACUACUGAGCUAGAGUACGGUAGAGGGUAGUGGAAUAUCCUGUGUAGCGGUGAAAUGCGUAGAUAUAGGAAGGAACACCAGUGGCGAAGGCGACUACCUGGACUGAUACUGACACUGAGGUGCGAAAGCGUGGGGAGCAAACAGGAUUAGAAACCCUAGUAGUCC
Molecule: ribosomal RNA, 450 nt
Filed under: uncultured bacterium
Lineage: Bacteria
Description: bacterial SSU rRNA
Rfam family: Bacterial small subunit ribosomal RNA
Source: RNAcentral